RNAcentral lists this microRNA precursor (86 nucleotides) under Canis lupus familiaris (dog). RNAcentral's name for it is "miRNA (ENSCAFG00000058936.1)". The record is from RNAcentral. Lineage: Eukaryota; Metazoa; Chordata; Mammalia; Carnivora; Canidae.
CCACCUGGGCCUCACCCAGACCUGGUGACUGUGGUCCCCACCUGGGCCUCACCCAGACCUGGUGACUGUGGUCCCCCCAGGCCUCA